Molecule: long non-coding RNA, 2912 nt
Organism: Gossypium arboreum
Lineage: Eukaryota; Viridiplantae; Streptophyta; Magnoliopsida; Malvales; Malvaceae
Exons: 3
Source: RefSeq, a predicted model, not a curated record
AAAACCCUAAAAAAUUUAUCAUCACAGCCAGCCACCAUUUUUAAACGAUCUCCUUUUUUCUUCCUCAUUUCCUCUUUACAAUGCUCCCUUAAGCAGACCAUCAUGGUUCUUUGUCUUUUCAUCCCUUGGUAAAGUAUUUCCUUGAUAAGUGAGUUUUCUCACUAUUUUGAUCGUUCCUCUAUUGGAUCGACCCAAUUCUUUGAAAUACCUUCCCAUUUUCAUAAUCCCUAUUACUUUAAAACUUCUAAACUUCAAGCCCUAAGUCCUUCUCAGAGGAAAUAGUCACCCCCCUUUCUUCAACGAAUUUUACCUGAGAAAUAUACUUAAUCAAUUCCUUGCCUGUCAAUUUCAACAGCCCUUGCUACCGCACUGGAGAGGCCAGAGCUAAGAUAAGUAUUUUCAUUUUCUUUUAAGCCUUCUUUUGCUAAGAUAUGAGGUACUUUAUUCUUUUGUUUCCAUACAUGUUGAAAAAUACAAGUAACAAAGUUACUGCAUAAUCGUUUAGCAUCAACAAUAUAUGCUCUAAUUUUUUAUCCAUCUUCCUCUCGACUUUUUAAUUUUCGGAUGAUAGUUAAUGCAUCACCCUCGACUUCAAUUCGUAGGAAUUCAGAUUCUGCCCCAAAUCGAAUCGCCUGAACGUAUGCGAGAGCUUCUACUGCAAAUGUUGUCGGUAUAUGUUUGUUUCUGAAUUUUUUUUAUUUUUAAGACUUGUCCCAAAUAGUUUCUUAUAACAAUCCUUGUACAUGAUCUAUUAUUCUAUUUUUGAAAUGCAACGUCAAAAUUGAUUUUGACAUUCAUCUCGUUUGGUGGCCUCCAAUUCUCAUUAGCGAUUAUGUUGACAGGGGCCACCCAAUUCCUAGCCUUGUCGAUACUCCAGUUACAAAAUAGCAGUCUUGAAAGAUGUGCUCUCUGGUUUCUUCGUUAUUUCUACAUCUUGGGCAAGUCGCAGAAUCUUGUACCUUGCAUUGAAUAAGAUUGGAAAAAGUAAGAAAGAAAUUAUUUAGGGUUUUCCAUACUAGGAUUCUUAUUUUAGCCGGCAAGUUUACAUUCUAUAAUUCAUUAUACAUGGGUUUGUAAGUAAUUUAAUUUUUAUGUAUAUUUGUUUAUAUUUCCGUUUGUAUUAAGUUUUUGUACCAACUGUGCACUAUAUAAACUCUUGAAGCCUCUUCUCACCAUAUGACUUUAUCCAAUUCUUUCUCAAGUGGUAAGGGAAUGUACAGAAGUCUUGUUGCGUCAUCUUGGUGAAAGGUAUGUUGAAAGAAUUCUUGUUGCGUCAUCUUGGUGAAAGGUAUGUUGAAUUAACUCUUGCUUCCAUCGAUUUGUAUCUUGUUCAAUUAGUUCUGAAACUAACACAAGAUUUUGAGUACUACCUGGAUAUUGAAUCUUGUAGUCAGCUGAGCCCAGAACCCAUGCAUCAUUCCAAAUUUGAAUUUGAGUUCCGGAUCCAACUCGCCAGCCCAUCCCUUUAUUAAGAAGUCCUUUUGCCGACCAAAGACUUCGCCAGGUGCAUGAUGAAAAAUGGUUUGGCAAUGAGUUCUGAAGGAAGAAGUGGGGGCCUCGCAUUAAUGUGGAAGGAAGACUUUGAUGUUAACAUCCAAAACUACUCUAAGUUCCAUAUUGACGCCCUGGUUCAGUACGAAAAUAACAGAAGUGUUUGUUUCACUGGUUUCUAUGGUGAUGCGAACCCAAGCUUUCGAAAUAAUUCGUGAGAAAUGCUUAGAAGGGUUGAGAGGACGAUUGGUGAAGAUUGGAUUGUAGGAGGGGACUUUAAUGCAAUCUUGAAUGAUGCUGAGAAAAAGGGUGGGCGCAGGAAGGCUAGGUCGCAGAUAAAUGAGUUCAAGGAUCUUGUGGAUGAGCUGGCUCUUGUCGAUAUCAAGCCUAAUAAAGGAUGGGUUACCUGGGUUAAUAACAGGGAUAGGAAUACUAUGAUUAAAGAGAGAUUGGAUAGAUUCUUUACUUCGAUGUCUGUUAUUGAGAAUUUUCCUUUUAUGGCUACUUAUGUGGUGCGCCAAACUAAUUCUGACCAUGAUGCUAUAGUCUUGGAUACUUGGGGACGUAGCGAAAUAAAUAUCCCAGGCUUAGUUUCAAAUUUGAUGAGUGUUGGGCUAUUGAUGAGGAAGCUAAGAAUAUUAUUAAAGGCGUUUGGCAAUACAAUGAUAGCAACUUUGUAGGUAAGCUUGAUAAUGUGUAUGUAGCUUGGUUCGUGGCAACGUAGUAAAUAUAAUAAUAUGAAGAAAGCCAUUCGAAGACUGGAACAUAAGAUUGAUAGGAUCAUUAACUCGCCUCAAGGAAUUAACAGUACGUUAGUAUUGAAAGAAACAAGAAGCAGGCUCAAUCAUCUAUAUGCUAAGGAAGAGAAAUACUGGUCCCAAAUAUCUCGAUCACUUUGGUUAAAGGAGGGUAAAAAAAAAACUCGUUACUUCCAUGCGAGAGCUACUAGUCGACUGAGGAAAAAUAACAUUGAAAGGCUAAAAGACUAAUGGCAACUGGCUGAUGGAUUAUAGAGACAUUUUCAAUGUUACUGGAAACUAUUUUUGUAACUUGUUUCAGUCUAAUAACUAUGCUAAUGAUAUCCAUGUUUUGAAUUACAAUAGGGAAUGUGUUCCAAAAAAUCCAAUGAGUGGCUUGAAGUUGACUACAUGGAAAGCGAGAUCAUCCAGGCAAUAAAGCAGAUGGAUCCUAGGAAGGCCCUUGGAGUAGAUGGUCUCUCGAGAAAUUUCUUCAAGUACAACUGGGAGACUGUUGGCAGGGAUAGUAUCCGGUUCUGCCUUGAUAUUCUGAAUGGGAAUAAAGAUGUUUUAUAUUUAAAUAAAACUAUGAUAAUCAUAAUCCUUAAAAUUUGUAACCGUUAUGAUAUGACUAAUUACUACCCAAUUAGCUUAUGGAGGUUCGUUUAUAAGGUUAUCUCCAAA